This 692-nucleotide long non-coding RNA is filed under the name Mus spicilegus (steppe mouse). RNAcentral describes it as "lncRNA (ENSMSIG00000025427.1)". The record is from RNAcentral. Lineage: Eukaryota; Metazoa; Chordata; Mammalia; Rodentia; Muridae.
GGCAGUCAUCUUGGCACCUCAGGAUACAGCAGAAGAAUCAACAAUAGUCUCAUUGGCAGGAGCAGAGAGGAUAAACCACUGUUUUACUCUUUGAUACCUCAUUCCCUAACAAAGAAGCAGCAGGUUGUGGUUUCUGAGAGCCCAGGCUACGUAGAUGGGAAUGGAAGAAUGAGAAGGUCAGGGGGAGCCAGGGCCAAGGUGGGGACUGUGUCCAGCAUAUGCAGUGCUCUUCUCUGCAGUCAUCCCUACUGCAAGGAGGAGUCUGACUGACUUCAGUAAUCAGCCUUCAAAUGGUGUGUGUCGUACAUAGACAGGAAAGUCUUUGUGGAAGCCGUUACUCAGACUGCACAGGGGGCAUGCUGCUUGGAGAUUCAGUGGUGAUCUUGCUGCUGGGACUCUGGAAGCUGGAGCACGUGUUGGAAGUAAAAGAAGACACAGGCCUGGAGAGACCUCUACGGAACGGGUAGCACUGAGUGCAGUGACGCGGUAGCUUGAGAGGUCCAUCUGCAUAAGUCACAGUCACAAAAGAGGCCCUUUGAGGCCACCGAUGGCAGUGCCAUUGCAUGGGUUAGAGUCUCUGGAGCUAAGAACACUGUAUCCGUUACUUUUCUAUAGCUAUGACAAAAUGCCUUAAGCAAGGCAACUUAUGGAAGAAAGAGUUUACUUUGGCUUGCAAUCCCAGAGGAAUGGGA